Rhipicephalus sanguineus (brown dog tick) is the source of this 1438-nucleotide long non-coding RNA. RefSeq lists it as uncharacterized. The record is from RefSeq and is a predicted model, not a curated record. The transcript is spliced from 2 exons. Lineage: Eukaryota; Metazoa; Arthropoda; Arachnida; Ixodida; Ixodidae.
AAGCUCAUUAUAUAACUUCUUAACAUAGCCAUCAUACACAAAUGCACAUGUUUGCACCUGUGUUACACCUGCUUGCUGUAUGUUUUGCAUACUGCAGCAGCUAGGGUUUUGGAAGAAGAUUGUGUCAGUCAUCGCGUAAAGCCGGGCAAACGAUUGUGUAGCCCUGAAAAGGGCUGUUUGGUUGCUUCUCGUGCAGAGGUGGUUAGAGGUGUGAGAUGCGUUUGAUGAGACGAGCGAAAAUGAAUUCCGGCACCGCUUCGGUCUGUCCAAACGAAGUGCAUUGGCUGUGCGGUGAACUAAGCACCAUUCAUGGAUGCUGUUGGGUCAGUGGAUUUUCAACAGAGAGGAAAUUGUUGCACACACUGAAACUCUUUACGAACAGAAGCUUCCAGCCAAAAGUCGGUAGCAGGAAAUUCAUAGAUGAUAAUGGCAACACAUUUCUUGGUUUCCAGCUCAUGCCGCAGCUGCGAGAUGUGGGCAACUGGCAGGCAGAGGCGCUGGAGUUACUAGCCGCAAACACCAGGCGGCAGGGCCAGGCAUCAUUGGAAAGCUGCCGACUGCCAGGUUCAACUUCUCGGUGACGUGGCCCAUGAGCUGCAAGGCGUUGGUACCCUCGCCCGGGCCCUCAUUGCAGCGGAAGCCACCUGCACAGUGAUUUGUAAAGACUAGUUGUACAUAUAUGUAGAUUUAUUUUUGUUCACAUAACGAGCUGUGAUACACUGGUUUGCCUCAUUGGUGCCCUGCCAUUUUUUUUCACUUAAUUUUAUUUUUCUGCAUAUCAUAAGCACUGAUGUGCUGUUUCAUUGUACAUAGCACAGUGUAGCUCAAUGGUAAAUCGUGUCCUGCGAUGUCAUUGUCCCUUUAAUAUCAUCAUGCGAGGUGGUGCAUUCAGCAGUUUUGUAGCACAUGUGCAUAGCACACUGUAGUGUAUCUUUAUGUUUAUAGUGUAUACGUGUAGAAUAUUGUGGCACACUGUACGUUUUCUAUCGAUUUUUACACAUCCUAGAAAAAAAGAAAAGCGUUUGUGGAUGGUCUAGGUUGCACAACAAGUUUGAAAUAUUGCAAGACCAAAAAAUAGUUGACGAACACGUGUUCUGUUGCUUAGAAGUGUUUAGACAACAGGAUUGGGUACAAACAGAAGUGAAUAAUAGAGCAAGACAUAUCAGCAACCAACAACUUGCAUUUUUUAGAGAGUUCGAAUAAUACAGGUUCGACUGUGCCUUGUCUUCAUGUACUACAAUGACUUUUGUGCUGCGAGACGCGUGUGUUGAUGCAGAGGAGCAGCAGGCACUUUCUAACAACUCCAUUUGUAUAUUAUAAAAGGAAGCUACUUUUAUAUUCUUUUCCUUGGCAUUUAAUUUAAGGGAUAUUUAUUUAUUUUGCUUUUUAUGUGCAUUGCUUGCGAUACUUGUAAUAAAAUUUCACUUCUGACACCACC